Long non-coding RNA from Gadus macrocephalus (Pacific cod), 1037 nucleotides. RefSeq lists it as uncharacterized. Lineage: Eukaryota; Metazoa; Chordata; Actinopteri; Gadiformes; Gadidae. The transcript has 6 exons. The record is from RefSeq and is a predicted model, not a curated record.
AGGCGCUGAUGGAGGAGCCGUGCUGAAGGCCCUGGGCUGGUGGAGGGCCUGCCUGGGGAAUGACGUGUAUCGUGGGUUAGAUGGAGCCUGACUCUGAAACCAGGACUCUGUCUGAGGAGAGCUGCUGGAGGAGCUGAGACGCUGGAGGACGACUAGGAAUCGACCAACAAGGAUUCCUCAACGUGUUUCUGGAGCGGAGGCAAGCUGGUAGGGGAGCCGUGAAUCUGGAGGAUGACCAUCACUCUACCAACAAGGGUUACUUUAGGGCCAGACUCACGCUGUUUGUUCCAGACCAGGACACUGGCUGAGGAGAGCUGAUGGAGGAGCCAAGACACGAGCCAAGAGGACGACAUCACUCCACCAACCAGGAUCCUCAGACAAAUUACGUUUGUAACCAGACCAGGAAUCUGGAUGACUGAUGGAGAAGCCGUACAUCUGGAAGGCAAAUCCUGAGGACCACCAGGACUCUACCAUCAAGGACUAGACACACCUGAGCUGAACCUCACCUGAUCCUGUUUGGUCGGGGGUAGACACACCUGAGCUAAACCCGCCCUGAUCCUGACAUCCUGCUGGUCCCGUCUCCUCAGUUCACCUGAGCCUCGUCCUCCAGAAGACCUGCUGAGCUCAGCAGUCUGAGGCUGAUGGAUCAAUGACCUCCAGUGGGAGUGAUCUUCUUGACACCACAUGUAACCGUGUGCUUCCACACGCCUUUCCCUCACGUCUGUCACUAACUUCACUACUCUCUACUGCUUCCUCUUUUCUUCCUUCUCUGUGGUUCGAACCUUUACACGGAAGGCGCGUCUUCCUGCCCUCAGAGGGUUUAGCGUUAGGGUUGAGAGUCAGGGUUUAGAGUCAGGGACAGAGCUGGUCAGGGAGGACUGCUUUUACACAAACCUCUUCACUUGCUUUCGGAAUGGUGGUGACAUUUUGAAAAGAUUCAUUUGGGAAAAUGUUUUCCUCUGCUUUCCUUUACAAAAUUGUAUUAAACUUCUGUCAAGUGUUUUUGUUUAUAUAUUAAAAUCCCACAUUGACUUCUA